This is a long non-coding RNA of Oreochromis niloticus (Nile tilapia), 827 nucleotides long. RefSeq lists it as uncharacterized. The transcript has 2 exons. NCBI's taxonomy places the organism in Eukaryota, Metazoa, Chordata, Actinopteri, Cichliformes, Cichlidae. The record is from RefSeq and is a predicted model, not a curated record.
CUGCAAUCUUUAGAGAAGAAACAGGAGAAAUCAGUUUUGGUUUAGUUGCUUACUUAAUAUUUUUGUUUCAUAACCAUGUAGCCCAGCUAGAAAAAAACAGAGCAGUAGAAAGUAAUUUUUCGGUGUAUGAUGUAAACAAUUUAGUCAUUUCUUUCUUUCUUUUUUUGUUUAAAGGAAGAUGUGAACAAAUGAGAUUAUCUGUUGUCGUAUAACUUGGCCAAUCAGCAAUGAGCUCCCAGCGACCCAUGCUGUUGACCUUGAUCACAUGACUUUCUGUAGUUGCCAUUUCAUUCCUGUUCAUACAAUGCCAUGUGCCCGAGAAACUAACGUUACCAAAGUCGAAUUGCUAGGAGUUGCAAGCGAGUCUGCUGCUGCAGCACCCUGUCAUUGGUCAGGUUUUUUUGUUAUCUGGUAAAAGGAUGACUCGACAGAUGGAACCAGUCUGAAGCAAGCCUCCUUCAAGGAGCAGCGAUUCCACAGUUCCAGUUAACUGGAUGGUGAGCCAACCCAAAAGUGAAUAGGAUUUGCUGAGGUUUUAUUGAAGCCAAAGCUUCCUUCCCAUUGAAGCUUCAGAUACCUGCAGGACUAGGAACUUUCUUCUUCAUCGGAGUGUGGUAGGACAAACGUUAAACAAACUGAACGGGCCCCAACGAUCCAUCAGUUACCAGACAGCUUUCUCUGAGUCAAAUGUAUCAGUGAAUAAUGUAUGCGUGCACUUUUAUUUAGUUUGUUAUUUUGGGGGGAAAUAUUUUGUAUUUUAUUUUAUUGCUUUCCUUACAUUUGUUUGCAGCUGCUGUGUGUCAAAUAUAACAAAUUUGUGAACAGUC